GAGGGUAUAGCUCAAGUGGUAGAGCGCAUGCUUAACAUGCAAGGUCCUGGAUUCAAUUCCCAGUACCUCCU
RNAcentral lists this transfer RNA (71 nucleotides) under Camelus bactrianus (Bactrian camel). It matches the Rfam family "tRNA". From Rfam's summary of the family: Transfer RNA (tRNA) molecules are approximately 80 nucleotides in length. The record is from Rfam by way of RNAcentral. Lineage: Eukaryota; Metazoa; Chordata; Mammalia; Artiodactyla; Camelidae. RNAcentral also lists the same sequence under 2 other names.